AGAGUUUGAUCCUGGCUCAGGACGAACGCUGGCGGUGUGCUUCACACAUGCAAGUCGAACGGAGUAGCAAUACUCAGUGGCGGACGGGUGGGUAACACGUGGGAAUCUACCAUUAGGUGGGGAAUAACAGGCCGAAAGGACUGCUAAUGCCGCAUAUGUAGGCAUCUCGACAGAGAUGUUUAUGAAAGGAGUAAUCCGCCUUUUGAUGAGCCCGCGUCCGAUUAGCUAGUUGGUAGGGUAAAAGCCUACCAAGGCGACGAUCGGUAGGUGGUCUGAGAGGAUGAUCACCCACAAUGGGACUGAGACACGGCCCAUACUCCUACGGGAGGCAGCAGUGGGGAAUUUUACGCAAUGGGGGAAACCCUGACGUAGCGACACCGCGUGAGCGAAGAAGCCCUUUGGGGUGUAAAGCUCUGUCAACAGGAACGAAACAAAUGACGGUACCUGUGGAGGAAGCAUCGGCUAACUACGUGCCAGCAGCCGCGGUAAGACGUAGGAUGCAAGCGUUGUCCGGAUUUAUUGGGCGUAAAGAGUUCGUAGGCGGUUUGUUAAGUCUGAUGUUAAAGACCGGGGCUCAACCUCGGAAAUGCAUUGGAUACUGGCAGACUGGAGUGCAGUAGAGGCUAGUGGAAUUCCCAGUGUAGCGGUGAAAUGCGUAGA
RNAcentral lists this ribosomal RNA (660 nucleotides) under uncultured bacterium. RNAcentral's name for it is "bacterial SSU rRNA". It matches the Rfam family "Bacterial small subunit ribosomal RNA", at positions 8 to 694 of the family's 1533-position model. The record is from RNAcentral.